UACGUAGGUGGCAAGCGUUAUCCGGAAUUACUGGGCGUAAAGCGCACGCAGGCGGUCUUUUAAGUUUGACGUGAAAGCUCCCGGCUUAACUGGGAGAGGUCGUUGAAUACUGGGAGACUUGAGGCAAUGAGAGGGGUGUAGAAUUCCUGGUGUAGUGGUGGAAUGCGUAGAUAUCAGGAGGAAUACCAGUGGCGAAAGCGGCACCCUAGCGUUGUUCUGACGCUCAUGUGCGAAAGCGUGGGGAGCGAACGGG
This 253-nucleotide ribosomal RNA is filed under the name uncultured bacterium. Its description in RNAcentral is "partial 16S ribosomal RNA". It matches the Rfam family "Bacterial small subunit ribosomal RNA", at positions 524 to 776 of the family's 1533-position model. The record is from RNAcentral.